CCAAUAGCGUAUAUUAAAGUUGUUGCAGUUAAAAAGCUCGUAGUUGAAUUUCGGGACUAAUAUGUCGGUCGUGCCUCGGUACGUACUGGUCUCACUGAUUCCUCCUUCCUGAUGAGCUGUAAUGCCAUUAAUUUGGUGUUGCGGGGAAUCUGGACUGUUACUUUGAAAAAAUUAGAGUGUUUAAAGCAGGCUAACGCUUGAAUACAUUAGCAUGGAAUAAUGAAAUAGGACGUUCGAUCCUAUUUUGUUGGUUUCUAGGAUUGACGUAAUGAUUAAUAGGGAUAGUUGGGGGCAUUAGUAUUCAAUUGUCAGAGGUGAAAUUCUUGGAUUUAUUGAAGACUAACUACUGCGAAAGCAUUUGCCAAGGAUGUUUUCAUUAAUCAAGAACGAAAGUUAGGGGAUCGAAGACGAUCAGAUACCGUCGUAGUCUUAACCAUAAACUAUGCCGACUAGGGAUCGGAUGAUGUUAAUUUUUUAAUGACUCAUUCGGCGCCUUACG
Molecule: ribosomal RNA, 499 nt
Filed under: uncultured Glomus
Lineage: Eukaryota; Fungi; Glomeromycota; Glomeromycetes; Glomerales; Glomeraceae
Description: SSU rRNA
Rfam family: Eukaryotic small subunit ribosomal RNA
Source: RNAcentral